GAAAACUCUGUCAAACUUUGGAAAAGUUUACCAAAAGGGAAAAUGGGGAGAGAUGGAAGGAUGGGGCUCGAAAUUGCAGAGGUUUCAGAUAUAAGAGAUGAAGCUUGCUCUCUGAAUGUGUGUGUUUUGCUUGUUGGGUAGAAGAUGCCUUUUUUAUAGCUGCUAGAAGCUAUCCUUUUUCAAGAAACCCUAAUGGCUUCUAUCCAAUUUGGCCAAGUCUUUCCCUUCCUUUCUCCCCUCAUCCCUCCAAUCAUCCUAUUUUGGUGAAAUCCACUCUGCUCAUUU
This 285-nucleotide long non-coding RNA is filed under the name Prunus persica (peach). Its description in RNAcentral is "long non-coding RNA (PPER_LNC002108)". The record is from RNAcentral. Lineage: Eukaryota; Viridiplantae; Streptophyta; Magnoliopsida; Rosales; Rosaceae.